This 305-nucleotide ribosomal RNA is filed under the name uncultured bacterium. RNAcentral describes it as "bacterial SSU rRNA". It matches the Rfam family "Bacterial small subunit ribosomal RNA", at positions 335 to 638 of the family's 1533-position model. The record is from RNAcentral.
GUGCCUACGGGACGCAGCAGUGAGGAAUAUUGGUCAAUGGCCGCAGGGCUGAACCAGCCAAGUCGCGUGAGGGAUGACGGUCCUAUGGAUUGUAAACCUCUUUUGUCAGGGAGCAAAGGGCGCCACGUGUGGCGCUUUGCGAGUACCUGAAGAAAAAGCAUCGGCUAACUCCGUGCCAGCAGCCGCGGUAAUACGGAGGAUGCGAGCGUUAUCCGGAUUUAUUGGGUUUAAAGGGUGCGCAGGCGGCGAGUAAAGUCAGCGGUAAAAUUUCGGGGCUCAACCCCGACGAGCCGUUGAAACUGGCU